RNAcentral lists this microRNA precursor (60 nucleotides) under Callithrix jacchus (white-tufted-ear marmoset). RNAcentral describes it as "Cja-Mir-190-P3_pre stem-loop". It matches the Rfam family "mir-190 microRNA precursor family", at positions 10 to 69 of the family's 78-position model. RNAcentral also lists the same sequence under 7 other names. The record is from RNAcentral. Lineage: Eukaryota; Metazoa; Chordata; Mammalia; Primates; Cebidae.
UGAUAUGUUUGAUAUUGGGUUGUUUAAUUAGGAACCAACUAAAUGUCAAACAUAUUCUUA